AUUUGAUGGGAGACUUGGCCAGUGAGAAGGAGGCAGCCACACAUGGAUCCAUGGGGAAAAUUGCUCUGCAAAGAAAAGGGGAAUGAUCAUAAAUUAAAGCAGCUUACAGGAUAGGAGUGCGUUGUAUGUUUCUUCUUCUCCAAGGCACAACCCGAUCUCCCAGAGAAGGAGAAGUGCCUGGCGUGGACUAUAACUUUCUGACUGUGAAGGAGUUCUUGGACCUCGAGCAGAGCGGGACUCUUCUGGAAGUCGGCACCUAUGAAGGAAACUAUUAUGGGACACCCAAGCCUCCUAGCCAGCCAGUCAGUGGGAAAGUGAUCACGACGGAUGCCUUGCACAGCCUUCAGUCUGGCUCUAAGCAGUCGACCCCGAAGCGAACCAAGUCCUACAAUGAUAUGCAAAAUGCUGGCAUAGUCCAUGCGGAGAAUGAGGAGGAGGAUGACGUUCCUGAAAUGAACAGCAGCUUUACAGCCGAUUCUGGUGAACAAGACGAGCACACUCUCCAAGAAACAGCAUUACCACCUGUGAAUAGUAGCAUCAUCGCUGCUCCCAUCACGGACCCUUCUCAGAAGUUCCCUCAAUACCUACC
This 589-nucleotide small RNA is filed under the name Pan troglodytes (chimpanzee). Its description in RNAcentral is "processed transcript". Lineage: Eukaryota; Metazoa; Chordata; Mammalia; Primates; Hominidae. The record is from RNAcentral.